Cyprinus carpio carpio is the source of this 2445-nucleotide long non-coding RNA. The record is from Ensembl. NCBI's taxonomy places the organism in Eukaryota, Metazoa, Chordata, Actinopteri, Cypriniformes, Cyprinidae.
AUUAUUCAGUGUUUUAACAAUGCCAGAAGGGCUAUGAGUCAGUCUUUGUAUAGGACACACACACAGGUAUUUUAGGUUAGAACAAUGGGCAUUAAUAAUACACUGUGUGCCAAGGAGAGACAGAUUUACCUCGGCCUGGUUAGAAAGCGCCAUCUUAUGCUGAUACUCUCUGAUUAUACAAUGCUAAAAAAAACUGCAUUUACUUUUUGUCCUCAGUCUUCCUACAUGAGAUAGCUAAUGCAUGUAGAUUGGCCCAGUGUUGGCUAGUCUGAUUCAGGGACUGACAUUAAUGUUUCAGAAGGAUGGUGGAGGAUGUUUGGAAACAAGAUGCUUUUCAGAGCCUUGUCCCAGAAAACGGCACGGACGCAUGAGCAUGGAGAGAUAGACGAACAACAGCAGGUGUGUUAGAGGACUUUUUUGUGAUCCUGCGCUAUUGUAAUAUUGAACAAUGAACAAAAAGCCUGUGUGUGUUUGUGUAUGUGAAAAUGCUGUUUAAACCCAUUUAUCUUGCAGACAGACUGAGCACUAAAGGUGUAUAAAUUUAAUUUCUUUAUUUUGAAUUUCACCCCUAGCAAUUCAGUAAAUUGCAUCUUGAAAUGGGAGUAAAACUCAAUGAGAUUUCACAUGAAUCGGAUAUAUUACUCGCAAAGCUGUCCCUCCUGUUGCUAUGCUGUGUAGUUCUGUGUCUCUCUCUAGCUCUAUUCCAGAACCUAGUGAGCUGCCUAUGGAGGAGCGGUUUUAAGGCAUCAGAGAAAGAAGUCACACAGGUUUGGAAUAGCAUGUGGCAAUCCGGUCGCAACCCGACCAACCCGUGGACGUCUCCCCUCAACCUCUGCGUCGUUUGGCCCAAAAGCCCCUAUUAAUCAUAGUCUAAUUGAAUUCCAGCAAACACAUAAAACUCUGAUUGGGUUUAGUUAUUUCAUUUUGCAAACACAUGUCUCUGGUGAACCGUGUAAAGUGAUAUGCAGUGGUGAGCCAUGUCAUCUGGAACUGUCUCGCUGCUCUGGCUGAUGUUUAAUAAGCAAAAACAUGUGUUGUCCCCAAUUUGACUGCCAUAGCUGGCCUGAUGUCCGGGGAGAGCCAUACUUCUGGAUUGAGCCACGUCUGUUCCUAUCUGUGAUUAAUGCUCUGUGAUUUUAUUUUGUGAAGGAUAGCUCUUGUGGUUGCUCGUUUCGUCUCUGUGACCUGCUAAACUUUGGUCUGGAAUUGCGUGGAUGGCAGCGGGACAACUAUGAGAAUAUUUCCGUCAGAGCCGACCAAUACUGGAAUGCCAGAAUAAUUAUCAGCAGCUGUCCACAUCAAACUUCAGAGCCUCGGGAGGGACCCCGCUCUUCUCAAAUGGACAUGAGUGACAGGGCUCAUACCCUCUGUGCUGGACUGGAUGAAGAGCGAAGAGGAAACAGGCAAGGAAAACGAGGGAGACAGAAGGAAAGAAAGAGAUCCAUAUGUCUCUGUUGUCAGUCACUGCUUAUUAUCCACGGAUAGCUGCAGAAAGUUUUAUGUUUGUGUGUGUGUGUAGAUUCAAAGCUCCACUCUGUUAUUAGAACCUACGCUCUGCUGAGGAAAGAAAAGCCCUACUGUGAGCUUAAAAGAUGUUGUCUCAUUUCAUCAUUUAUUACGCAUUUAAAGUGGUUUUGAAAUAGCUGAGGCCAUUGCGGUCUGCAACCCUAAUAGAAGCUCUUCUCUCCAAUUAAUAUAUCCAGACUUGUGAUCCUACCAAAGAAACACAGAUCCAAAGUACAAAGGACUUGUCGACGGUUAACAGUUGCUGUGUUACCGCACAUAGAUCAAAUUGAAGUUUUCCCCUGUUUCUCCUUUUUAAAGGAGCAGCUGUCGCCAUCAAUGUUCCGUCGCUGCCUAACCAAACUUCCCAACAAGAGAGAUUAGCGGUGUAUGACACUGAUUCUGCAGAUGGUAUGAAUACGCACACUUGGUUGUCGUGCUUUCGUUACGAAACCCAUAUGAAACUUGUCUCAGGCUUAUAAAUGAUGUUGCAUGUAUGAUGGCCAGCUGCAACAUUGCUACAUGAACACCAACAUUUCAUCUGAACAACAACAUGUGCAUUCGCUGUAGAUGACGCUGUUGUUUUGAAUAAAUUAUGUUUUUUUUUUUGUUUUUUUUUUGCAGCAUGAGCCCAUUCCUUCUUUUCCCUUUUCAAUAACCGGGACAGAGUCAAUAAUAAUAAGAAUAAUAACAAUAAUAAUAAUAAAUUAUUAUUAUUCCUUAUUUACUCAUCUGAACAGGUCAGUAGAUUUUUUUUGUUAAUAGCUUAGACAUACUAUUUUAUUUCCUUAUAAAGAUAUCUUUAUAUUUGAAAGGGUAGCAUUGUCUGAAUUGGAACACUUAUGCAUGAAAGUAUUCUCUCUAUCUCUAUAUAUUUAAAAUACAUGUCAUGUGUUGAUCCUAGCUUUAUCACUUUUUGCAUUUAUCACAUCUAACUUUAUC